GAGUCUGUAUUAAGGUUAUGAAAAUUGUAAUUUUUUUUUAUUGGAUCGAUCAUGCUGGAGAUUAUCAUUUGGUGAUUGCGAUGAUCUUCUUUUUAUUAUUUCUGAGUUGUGUACAAGCAUUGUAGUAUAUUUUGUCACGAAAUCGCCAAAGGGGGAGAUUGUUAAGGAUUUUUUAGGUUGGCGAAUUUCGUAAUGUUGAAUGGAGUCUUGAAGAGUUGAUCGCGGAAGUUUUUGAAGAAAAGAUUCAAAUUGAAGAAUAAAGAUUCAUUCGUAAAGUUCGGCACUUAAGGUAUGAAGAAAAGAUUAUUUGUGGUGAAGAUACUUAAUUAGAAUAAGUUCAGAAGGCUUAGAUUGCU
This 356-nucleotide long non-coding RNA is filed under the name Ananas comosus (pineapple). RNAcentral describes it as "long non-coding RNA (ACOM_LNC034918)". Lineage: Eukaryota; Viridiplantae; Streptophyta; Magnoliopsida; Poales; Bromeliaceae. The record is from RNAcentral.